This 234-nucleotide ribosomal RNA is filed under the name uncultured bacterium. RNAcentral's name for it is "partial 16S ribosomal RNA". It matches the Rfam family "Bacterial small subunit ribosomal RNA", at positions 91 to 334 of the family's 1533-position model. The record is from RNAcentral.
AUUAGUGGCGGACGGGUGAGUAACAUUUAGGAAUCUACCUAGUAGUGGGGGAUAGCUCGGGGAAACUCGAAUUAAUACCGCAUACGACCUACGGGUGAAAGGGGGCGCAAGCUCUUGCUAUUAGAUGAGCCUAAAUCAGAUUAGCUAGUUGGUGGGGUAAAGGCCCACCAAGGCGACGAUCUGUAACUGGUCUGAGAGGAUGAUCAGUCACACCGGAACUGAGACACGGUCCGG